UGCCCAAAAAACUGCACGAUCAAGUAGCCCUUGGGAAACGUUGUCUUGCUUGCUCACUCAUCCCCCAGCGACACGACGACUUUCCAAAAACCACACCGUUCAUGCUGGGCUGGCAACCGCACCGACCAGGGUGCGUGUAUAUUCCUCGCUUGCCGACGAUCUCGUUUCGUUCUUGCUGGUCUUGCGCAGCCCCUCCGAUCACGAUCACGGCAAGUUCGGGCGCCCGAGCGCACACUACUACUUUGCGCCUUUGCGCGGUCGCACCAACCGCUCAGUACAGCUUGAGUCGUCGACGCUGAGAGGCCGCAGCGCGUUUCGUUUCCCGUCGAAAGCCCGUCGUCUCGCUUUUCGUCCAAAGCCCGUCCGCUAAGUGUGCGCAGUAGUAAGUGAGUGAACGUGAAGUAGGCAAAAAAAAACCCAAAAUAAUUGCCACCCCGAGGCCGCCCUCACCCCGGAGUGUGCUUAGCAGUGUUGCCCUUUCCUUCUAACUGCCCACGUCGUGUCGUGUCGUGGUGCUCGUUGUGUGCAUUUGCAGUGUCUCAAAGCGUGUGGUUGUGUGUAACGCCGUAUUGCAUAACUCACUCACCGGCGUGCGCCCUAAAACCGAGCGCACCUUCGGCUAAAAAGGGUUCGUCGCCGACGCUGCCGCCGCUCGCACAAGCAUUGAAAUCGUUCGAUCGAAUUUGGAUUUGCGCGAUUUGUCCGUCAGUGAUUGUGGUGGUGCUGGUUUGUGGUAGUUUUUUAAGUUGGCGUUAUGGUAGUGUAGGUGCCCCACAGUGUCACAUUUGACGUGAUCUCGAGUGAUCACCCAUUCUAUUCGUCUGUUGGCGUGCAUUCGAUUGUGCCCGUAGCCCAAAUUUUGCAACGAUUUUCGGUCCCAGACAGAGCUGGUGCGAGCUGGUUGCCAGAAGUGACAGAGUGGGAAGCAAACUGUACACCACAAAAGGCGCGACGAUGAAGCUGAAGCUGCUGUACACGCUGGCCAGCAUAGCGCUGCUGACCGUGGCCAGCUGUGAAGCGAAAGGUAAGCUGUGCAAAAAUGAAUUGUCUCUCGGUCGCUUGUCCGCGGUAAGAGAAGUGGUCAACCUUCGUCAAGCAAUGAGUAAAUGCCGCGCGUAGGAGUACCGAAGUAAAGGCUAAUAA
Anopheles merus is the source of this 1143-nucleotide long non-coding RNA. RefSeq lists it as uncharacterized. Lineage: Eukaryota; Metazoa; Arthropoda; Insecta; Diptera; Culicidae. The record is from RefSeq and is a predicted model, not a curated record. The transcript has 2 exons.